Molecule: ribosomal RNA, 253 nt
Filed under: uncultured bacterium
Lineage: Bacteria
Description: partial 16S ribosomal RNA
Rfam family: Bacterial small subunit ribosomal RNA
Source: RNAcentral
CACGUAGGGCGCGAGCGUUGUCCGGAAUUAUUGGGCGUAAAGAGCUCGUAGGCGGCCUGUUGCGUCCGCUGUGAAAGCCCGGGGCUUAACCCCGGGUCUGCAGUGGAUACGGGCAGGCUAGAGUGCGGUAGGGGAGAUUGGAAUUCCUGGUGUAGCGGUGGAAUGCGCAGAUAUCAGGAGGAACACCGAUGGCGAAGGCAGAUCUCUGGGCCGUAACUGACGCUGAGGAGCGAAAGCAUGGGGAGCGAACAGG